This 71-nucleotide transfer RNA is filed under the name Pseudorhombus arsius (largetooth flounder). RNAcentral's name for it is "tRNA-Asp". It matches the Rfam family "tRNA". From Rfam's summary of the family: Transfer RNA (tRNA) molecules are approximately 80 nucleotides in length. Their secondary structure includes four short double-helical elements and three loops (D, anti-codon, and T loops). Further hydrogen bonds mediate the characteristic L-shaped molecular structure. tRNAs have two regions of fundamental functional importance: the anti-codon, which is responsible for specific mRNA codon recognition, and the 3' end, to which the tRNAs corresponding amino acid is attached (by aminoacyl-tRNA synthetases). tRNAs cope with the degeneracy of the genetic code in two manners: having more than one tRNA (with a specific anti-codon) for a particular amino acid; and 'wobble' base-pairing, i.e. permitting non-standard base-pairing at the 3rd anti-codon position. The record is from RNAcentral. Lineage: Eukaryota; Metazoa; Chordata; Actinopteri; Pleuronectiformes; Paralichthyidae. RNAcentral also lists the same sequence under 1 other name.
GAGGUGCUAGUUAAAUGAUAUAACAUUGCCCUGUCAGCGCAAAAUCGCAGGUUAAACCCCCGCCCACCUUG